Molecule: long non-coding RNA, 1606 nt
Filed under: Homo sapiens (human)
Lineage: Eukaryota; Metazoa; Chordata; Mammalia; Primates; Hominidae
Description: HSALNT0179414
Source: RNAcentral
UCCAUAACUCAAUCAAGGGGAUCUGGAAGAAACCACUUCCUGUCUUCCUGCCUUCCAUUUCAAGUUUCUGAAGCUUCUUCAAAUUUGUUCUCUCUCUCUCUCUCGCCUGCAGGUCAUAGCCGUGCCUGGGAGAACCUUCUCUUCAACUCUGCCGCACCACUGUCAAGCUCACCUUUCUUCUAAGGUUUUAUUUUAGAGUUAACAUCCUCCAAAAAGCCUUCCUCAGGAGUUGAAGGUGCCCCUAAUAUCACAGCCAUGGCAUCCUGUACACUGGACCUUAUUGUCUGUCUGCCUGUUGUACCUUGUAUGAGUCUAUAAGCAAAACCUAUAAGAAGCCACAUCUGGCUAUUCUAUGUACUCAAAAAAUAAUUGGCAAGUGAAAGAAUGAGGAAAAGGAGAAAAAAUUCAGAAGGCCCCUACCCCUUCCAAUGGGUCAAGUCAGGAAUUUCCUACCUGCAUGUGAUUCCCUGUGUCCUAGAGGGUUUUAUUUACUCCUCAGACCUUGGAAACUGUUAACCAGAGUCUCUGUUUGGAGAUCUUAUCUGUGUGCUUCUCCAUGGGUGUUGUUUCCCUGUCUCUGCAGCCAUGCAUUCCUCAGCUCUUUAAGUGGUGGAGCCUGUCUGCCUGGAUAGAGUGCAAAAGCUACAGUGUAAUCUUGCUUUCUUUCAGGGCCACUGACCAGAGGAAAUAAAAACUGGACUGAUUGGGCUCUCCUGAUGUAGACCAGCCAGUGGCCCUCUAAGUUUCCUUCUAUGUUUAAAAUUCCUUAUCUGACAUUGCUAGCUGAUCAGCAGGCCCACAGGUCAGCUGAGGGCUUAUCUCCAGGGCUGGAGCUUCAAAGAGAUACAUGCACACGACUCCCCUGGGUCAGAUGGGCUGUGUCACAGUGAGUUGGGGAUAAUUUGGGAUCAGUCAACAUAACACACAUAACACAACCCAUUAAUUUUUUUUUUCAAAAAGCGAAGUUUAUUUUACUUUUUCCCAUUAUGAAAGUCAUCAAUGCUCAUUAUAGAAAAUUUGGCAAAUAACAAAAAGUGGAAAGAAAAAAAUUCCUUAAUAAUUUAGUAUAUUUGAUAUAUUCAUCCUUAAUCCUUAAUCUUUUACUAUGUUAUAUCUUUAAUAGUUGUGAUGAUAUACUUUUUGUAAUAAAUAUAUAUUUGUGUUGUGGCUUUUUUAAAAUUUAAAAACAUAACAAAUAUUUCCCCAAAUUUCUAUAUUGUUUCUAAAAAAAAAAAAAAGGAAGUAUGAUAUAUACCACAAUAGAGAUAAACCUUGAAAACAUUAUGCUAAGUGAAAGAAGCCAGGCACCAAAGAUCAUAUAUUUUAUUCCAUUUAGAUGAAAUGUACAGAAUAGGCAAAUCUAUAGAGACAGAAAGGAGAUUAGUGGUUGCUUAGAGUUUGGGAAGAUGGGGAAAGUGAGGGAUGAUAACUAAAGAAUAUGAAGUUUCUAGUUAAGACUUGCAUGGUUUACACUGAUUGAUGGUGCUAAAGUUGUGUGCCUGCAUCUUUGUUGCAAGGGAGACUGGGAAUUUGAGUUCAAUUUUUCUAAAUUGAGAAAUUUGCCACUUAAAUAUGAAAAUUUUAGGCCAGGCACAGUGGCUCAUGC